Molecule: long non-coding RNA, 99 nt
Filed under: Peromyscus maniculatus bairdii (prairie deer mouse)
Lineage: Eukaryota; Metazoa; Chordata; Mammalia; Rodentia; Cricetidae
Description: Nuclear RNase P (ENSPEMG00000004583.2)
Rfam family: Nuclear RNase P
About the family: Ribonuclease P (RNase P) is a ubiquitous endoribonuclease, found in archaea, bacteria and eukarya as well as chloroplasts and mitochondria. Its best characterised activity is the generation of mature 5'-ends of tRNAs by cleaving the 5'-leader elements of precursor-tRNAs. Cellular RNase Ps are ribonucleoproteins.
Source: Rfam by way of RNAcentral
GUGAGUUCCCAGAGAGCAGGGCUCCACAUGUGUGCAGCCUGGGCAGAGAGAUCCUAAGUGGGUAGGUGCAUCCCUUGCCAGAGCUUGGAACAGACUUAU